This 460-nucleotide ribosomal RNA is filed under the name uncultured bacterium. RNAcentral describes it as "partial 16S ribosomal RNA". It matches the Rfam family "Bacterial small subunit ribosomal RNA", at positions 338 to 795 of the family's 1533-position model. The record is from RNAcentral.
CCUACGGGUGGCAGCAGUGAGGAAUAUUGGUCAAUGGGCGGAAGCCUGAACCAGCCAAGUAGCGUGCGGGAUGAAGGCCCUACGGGUCGUAAACCGCUUUUGCACGGGGAUAACACCCUCCACUUGUGGCGGUCUGCAGGUACCUUGCGAAUAAGGGCCGGCUAAUUCCGUGCCAGCAGCCGCGGUAAUACGGAAGGCCCGAGCGUUAUCCGGAUUUAUUGGGCUUAAAGGGAGCGUAGACGGGCGUUCAAGUCAGUUGUGAAAGGCACGGGCUAAACCUGUGACCUGCAUGUGAAACUGGAGUUCUUGAGUACUGGAGAGGCAGACGGAAUUCGUGGUGUAGCGGUGAAAUGCGUAGAUAUUAGGAGGAACACCAAUGGCGAAGGCGGUCUACUGGACAGCAACUGACGUUGAGGCGCGAAAGCGUGGGGAGCAAACAGGAUUAGAUACCCUUGUAGUC